RNAcentral lists this ribosomal RNA (292 nucleotides) under uncultured bacterium. Its description in RNAcentral is "partial 16S ribosomal RNA". It matches the Rfam family "Bacterial small subunit ribosomal RNA", at positions 505 to 796 of the family's 1533-position model. The record is from RNAcentral.
GUGUCAGCCGCCGCGGUAAUACGGGGGGGGCAAGCGUUGUUCGGAAUUACUGGGCGUAAAGGGCGCGUAGGCGGCCUUCUAAGUCGGACGUGAAAUCCCUCGGCUUAACCGGGGAACUGCGUCCGAUACUGGAGGGCUUGGAUCCGGGAGAGGGAUGCGGAAUUCCAGGUGUAGCGGUGAAAUGCGUAGAUAUCUGGAGGAACACCGGUGGCGAAGGCGGCAUCCUGGACCGGCAUCGACGCUGAGGCGCGAAAGCCAGGGGAGCAAACGGGAUUAGAAACCCUAGUAGUCC